RNAcentral lists this ribosomal RNA (487 nucleotides) under uncultured bacterium. RNAcentral describes it as "bacterial SSU rRNA". It matches the Rfam family "Bacterial small subunit ribosomal RNA", at positions 30 to 507 of the family's 1533-position model. The record is from RNAcentral.
AUUGAACGCUGGCGGCACGCCUAACACAUGCAAGUCGAGCGGCAGCGAGAGUAGUAGCAAUACUACUUGUCGGCGAGCGGCGGACGGGUGAGUAAUACGUAGGAACUUGCCCAAAAGUGGGGGAUAACUAAGGGAAACUUUAGCUAAUACCGCAUAUACUCGAGAGAGGAAAGGAGCUCGUAGGGGUUUCGCUUUUGGAGAGGCCUGCGUCCAAUUAGCUUGUUGGUGAGGUAAAAGCUCACCAAGGCGAUGAUCGGUAACUGGUCUGAGAGGACAACCAGUCACACUGGGACUGAAACACGGCCCAAACUCCUACGGGAGGCAGCAGUGGGGAAUAUUGGACAAUGGGGGAAACCCUGAUCCAGCGAUGCCGCGUGGGUGAAGAAGGCCUUCGGGUUGUAAAGCCCUUUAGGUUGGGAAGAAGUUAUACUGAGGAAAUGCAGUAUGAUUGACGGUACCGACAGAAUAAGCACCGGCAAACUCUGUG